CGGGGUGUAGCUCAGCUUGGCAGAGCGCAGGCAUGGGGGGCCUGAGGUCGCCGGUUCAAGUCCGGCCACCUCGA
Molecule: transfer RNA, 74 nt
Filed under: bacterium
Lineage: Bacteria
Also listed under: 3 other names
Description: tRNA-Pro
Rfam family: tRNA
About the family: Transfer RNA (tRNA) molecules are approximately 80 nucleotides in length. Their secondary structure includes four short double-helical elements and three loops (D, anti-codon, and T loops).
Source: RNAcentral